GACGAACGCUGGCGGCGUGCUUAACACAUGCAAGUCGAACGAUGAAGCUGGAGCUUGCUCCGGUGGAUUAGUGGCGAACGGGUGAGUAACACGUGAGUAAUCUGCCCUUGACUCUGGGAUAACUGCGGGAAACUGUAGCUAAUACCGGAUACGACACCUUCGGGCAUCCGAUGGGUGUGGAAAGAAUUUCGGUCAAGGAUGAACUCGCGGCCUAUCAGCUAGUUGGUGAGGUAAUGGCUCACCAAGGCGACGACGGGUAGCCGGCCUGAGAGGGGGACCGGCCACACUGGGACUGAGACACGGCCCAGACUCCUACGGGAGGCAGCAGUGGGGAAUAUUGCACAAUGGGCGAAAGCCUGAUGCAGCAACGCCGCGUGAGGGAUGAAGGCCUUCGGGUUGUAAACCUCUUUUAGUUGGGAAGAAGCGAAAGUGACGGUACCAACAGAAAAAGCACCGGUUAACUACGUGCCAGCAGCCGCCGUAA
RNAcentral lists this ribosomal RNA (484 nucleotides) under uncultured bacterium. Its description in RNAcentral is "partial 16S ribosomal RNA". It matches the Rfam family "Bacterial small subunit ribosomal RNA", at positions 28 to 523 of the family's 1533-position model. The record is from RNAcentral.